This 25-nucleotide transfer RNA is filed under the name Schistometopum thomense. RNAcentral's name for it is "partial tRNA-Leu". Lineage: Eukaryota; Metazoa; Chordata; Amphibia; Gymnophiona; Dermophiidae. The record is from RNAcentral.
ACUUUUAAAGGAUAAAAGUAAUCCA